UAUUUGACGUUUUAUUUUGGUUUUCCUCA
RNAcentral lists this non-coding RNA (29 nucleotides) under Mus musculus (house mouse). Lineage: Eukaryota; Metazoa; Chordata; Mammalia; Rodentia; Muridae. The record is from RNAcentral.